This is an RNA transcript of Rhododendron vialii, 3007 nucleotides long. It is a transcript of the gene named zinc finger CCCH domain-containing protein 5, with no coding region annotated. The record is from RefSeq and is a predicted model, not a curated record. NCBI's taxonomy places the organism in Eukaryota, Viridiplantae, Streptophyta, Magnoliopsida, Ericales, Ericaceae. The transcript has 6 exons.
UUGUUUUUCUUGAGAAGAUCCAUCUCAACAACACUGGGUUGAGAAAGCCUAGGGGUCGGACCAUCGACUCCCAAGAGAGAGAAACAAUCUUUGUGUAUUGCUCGCACCGAAAUUUAGAGGAACCGAAAAAUAAAAAGUACAUCUAGUAUCGCGUCAUAGACACACUCGAGGGUGUGUAUAGCCGGUGAUAUCAUGGCAGAAAAAAUAGCCGGAGUCGAGCAGCAGUCGGCGGCGGGGAAUGUAGCCGGCAGCAGAAUAGAGAGGAGGAAGGCGGCGAAGAAGGAGAAGAGGAGGCAGAAGAGGAAGGAGCUGGCGGUGAAGGAGCUGGAAGAGGAGGAGGCCCGGCUGAACGAUCCGGAGGAGCAGCGGAUGAUCCAGCUGGAGGAGGAGAGAGAGAAGGAGAGGGUAGAGAGAGAGAGGAGGGAGUUUGAGGAGCACGAGAGGGUGUUUCUCGAGGCCUUGGCGGCGAAGAGGAAGGCGGACGACGAGGAGGAGGAGGAAGAGAGGAGGAAGGCCCUAGAAGAUGAAUCUAAACAGAAACAGGUUGGACACAAGGAUGAAAAAUCAGACGAUGAUUGGGAAUAUAUAGAAGAGGGGCCUCCGGAGAUUAUUUGGCAAGGAAAUGAGAUAAUUGUCAAGAAGAAAAAGGUCAGGGUGAAAAGAAAAGAUACAGCCCACCAGAUAAAAAAAGAGGAUCCAAAUAGGCCUACAUCAAAUCCUCUUCCUCCACAAUCUGAAGCCUUUGCUGAUUACAGGAAUGGAUUUGUGGCUUCUGCACAACAGUUAUUGGAUAAUGUUGCUCAACAAACUCCUAACUUUGGUACCGAACAGGACAAAGAUCAUUGCCCUUUCCACCUUAAAACUGGGGCUUGCCGAUUUGGGUCACGUUGUAACAGAGUUCAUUUUUACCCUGAUAAAUCGUGCACAUUGCUUAUCAAGAACAUGUACAGUGGACCUGGUCUUGCUUGGGAGCAGGAUGAAGGGCUUGAGGUCUGUAAUGAAGUCAUUGCGUGAUUCACUAUCAGACGUGCAUGUCGAGAUUCACAUUGGAGGUUCAUUGUUUCAGCCCUGGUUGGGUUGGAGAUAAAAGAAGGCAAUGUUUUCAUUGAGUUAUAUCUUCCUUGUCGCAUUGGAGAUCUCUGGCUGGUAACUAUCCGUACUCAACAAGUUUUUGGCUUGCAAGGACCAGUAAGUACUAGAAUGUGGACGCACCGAUGCACUCGUCUGCAGAGUUACUAAGAAGAUGGACAUUUCUUUUGAUAGGUAAGGAAUAGUAUGAAAAGUAUCAAAGGGUAUGUGGCCAAUGUGCAAGGCUAGCCUCUUAUAACUUCUACACAAUGGAGCAGAGCAAAAGAGAAGGCCUUAAAAAUGGGAACCUAUGCAUCAAAUCCACAACAUCAACAAUUUGAUCAAUGUAGUCUACAGCUCGACUGUGCAACAUUGGGAAAAAAAAGCUUUUCAAUCGAUGAGCAGGUUCCUCAACACCUUGGAAUGUCCUAUUGUUGUGUGCCCUCCAAAGAAGACACAUCAAUCAUAGAGGCACAAACGAUCAUGUCUUACUGUCUCUGUUUUCCAGUGUUGCCCCACCAACCAUGCAAGACACAGACAGCAUCUUUCUAGAAAACCCAAUGCAUUCCAAAGCAAGCAAGCACCAAACCCCGUAUAUUGGAUGCCACCUUACAGAGAAUAAGAUGGUGGUCGACUCUAUCUCCAUCACACAUGCAAAUACAAACAAAUUCGCAAAAGUAUGACGCCUCCUAAUAAAGUUUUCAAUUGGCAAGCUGACCCAUCUCCAAUCCUGCACUCUCCUCCUCAAACCUCGUCCCAAAAAAGCCUCUCUUCUUCCCGCCUAGAUCUGCCUACGAAGCUUCCUUGUCUGUCGCAAUACAAAAUGUAACAGUAAAUGUCUCCCUGCACCACCUUUAAUGCCAAAACAUAAAGCCCGUUACCUGCCCAUUUUGAGGCUUACCACCUUAGAAAAAUUAUCCCACGGAACCUAAUCGAUUUAGGGUUACCAUACAUUCUUGGGACUCCCUCUGCCCCCUAUUGCUUGUCAUAUACUGAGAACUUCCCAUUUCUUAAGGGGACAUGCAAUUCAUGCAUGCAUCUUUAGAAAGUUUGAUUAGAAUACCCAUUAUUCUCUACUUUUGAGACUACUUUUCAUCAUUAAUGAGGGUUAGUUUGUGGAAUUUUAUGCGCUUUUUGCUUUGACUUUUUAAAGAGGACUAAUAUUUUGGGACAUUCCAAAGAGGAAUAGCGGACCAGCAGUAUGGGACAUGGGAAGUAGUUCUUACUCCUUUCUUUUAAGGACUCUGCCGCUAACUUAUGUUUUGGGGGACUCUAAUGGAGCAGGGUAAUGUCCCAGGAGGGUGUCGUACAUUUGAUGUAGAGAAUUUCAUUUGCCUUUGAACUCUAAUCCGCUACACUUGCGAACUUAAUCCUGAAAAGCCUCAUCCAAGUAAUGAGGUGCUGUUAAGUCUAAUGCAUUUAUUCCCAGAUAUACUUAUGAGCAAAUGCUUCAUAUUCCUUAAUACAUACUAACACUUGUAUUUGCUGUUCAUUUAAAUGCUUCAUAUUCCUUCACACAUACUAACACUUGUAUUUGUUGUUCAUUUCCUUGACUAUUAACCUAAUUCUAACAUUAGAUGUUUCGUUAGGCUUAUUAUCUGUUUACUGGCCAUACAAUCCCUUUUUGAGAAACAAGAUAUUGCUAAUUAUGUGGUGAAGGGUUCUAUUUCUCUGGAAAACAUAUAUAUGUGUUUGUUUUUGGUGUGGACUUCUCUUGGCUGUUGGUGGUCUAUACAGGCAUGAAUUGAAACAGUGGGAUUUCACUCACGGUUGAAGAAUAUAGCUAAUUCUGAAAGAUAUCUGUGCAUGCACAUUUAGUUGAUCUUCAUAUGCGACCUUGUUUGGAGCAGUCCUAGAUGCAAUUAUAUGCAUAUCUCGUUUGGGUUGGAUUGCUGUUUAUCUGUUUGGCAGCUUGAGCCUUUCAAGCUGAAGGUCUCGU